Molecule: non-coding RNA, 656 nt
Organism: Peromyscus maniculatus bairdii (prairie deer mouse)
Lineage: Eukaryota; Metazoa; Chordata; Mammalia; Rodentia; Cricetidae
Source: RefSeq, a predicted model, not a curated record
CUGGUCUCACAAGGGUGCUAAGGGAGGCACUCUGGUUCCUUUUCUUUCCCUGAUUGAUGGAGCAGAUUCUGCAGCAGCCUGUGGGUAUAAAUAAGAGCCCGAGACUGUUAAAAAUAAUGUUUUAACCAAAUCUCAAACGGGAACGCGGAGGCACAGAAGGUUAAGGACGCGGUGUGAUGCAGAGCUUGUCAGCAGCAGCAAAUGUCAGUGUCUAGUCCUGGAGAGCAGCCCGCCACAGAGGCCAGGUUUAUGGCUGGUGUGAAGGCAGCCCACGGUGUGGUCGGCUGGGUGUCCCUGCAAGGAGUAGGGAGGUCGUUGACUCUGCUCAGCGUCUUCAGUGAGGAUUUGAAGUUAUUUCUGUGGGCAGAAUUCAGUAACAGACUCACCAAUGAUAAGACACUCGCCUUGUGUCAUAGUUAACCUACGGCCACAGUCAGCAUGGGCUACUCAGUUCUCGGGGCCCAGAACAAGAUGAAAACACAGAUCUGGCUCAAAAAUGACUCAGAGGCUCAGGCAGGUAACGUCGGACAAGCAUGGGCUCCUUGUGUGCGCAUGGCCCUGUGGGACCGAACAUGCCACACACCUACGAAGCCAGUCCUGGGUGUUUUGCCUGAGUGUAUGUCUGUGUACCGUGUGUGUACAGUGCCCAAGGAGGC